Molecule: ribosomal RNA, 443 nt
Filed under: uncultured bacterium
Lineage: Bacteria
Description: partial 16S ribosomal RNA
Rfam family: Bacterial small subunit ribosomal RNA
Source: RNAcentral
CCUACGGGAGGCAGCAGUGGGGAAUCUUGGGCAAUGGGCGCAAGCCUGACCCAGCAACGCCGCGUGAAGGAAGAAGGCUUUCGGGUUGUAAACCUCUUUUCUCAGGGACGAAGCAAGUGACGGUACCUGAGGAAUAAGCCACGCCUAACUUCGGGCCAGCAGCCGCGGUAAUACGUAGGCGGCAAGCGUUAUCCGGGUUUACUGGGUGUAAAGGGCGUGUAGGCGGGAAAGCAAGUCAGAUGUGAAAACCAUGGGCUCAACCUGUGGCCUGCAUUUGAAACUGUUUGUCUUGAGUGCUGGAGAGGCAGACGGAAUUCCUAGUGUAGCGGUGAAAUGCGUAGAUAUUAGGAGGAACACCAGUGGCGAAGGCGGUCUGCUGGACAGCAACUGACGCUGAGGCGCGAAAGCGUGGGGAGCAAACAGGAUUAGAUACCCGGGUAGUC